This 549-nucleotide ribosomal RNA is filed under the name Rhodococcus sp. KOD17. RNAcentral describes it as "bacterial SSU rRNA". It matches the Rfam family "Bacterial small subunit ribosomal RNA", at positions 355 to 919 of the family's 1533-position model. The record is from RNAcentral. Lineage: Bacteria; Bacillati; Actinomycetota; Actinomycetes; Mycobacteriales; Nocardiaceae.
UUUCAGAUCUCGGUAGUGGGGGGGCAGCCUCGUAGCAGCGACGCCGCGUGAGGUGACGGCUUCGGGUUGUAAACUCUUCAGCAGGGACGAAGCGCAAGUGACGGUACCUGCAGAAGAAGCACCGGCUCAACUACGUGCCAGCAGCCGCGGUAAUACGUAGGGUGCGAGCGUUGUCCGGAUUACUGGGCGUAAAGAGCUCGUAGGCGGUUUGUCGCGUCGUCUGUGAAAACCCGCAGCUCAACUGCGGGCUUGCAGGCGAUACGGGCAGACUCGAGUACUGCAGGGGAGACUGGAAUUCCUGGUGUAGCGGUGAAAUGCGCAGAUAUCAGGAGGAACACCGGUGGCGAAGGCGGGUCUCUGGGCAGUAACUGACGCUGAGGAGCGAAAGCGUGGGUAGCGAACAGGAUUAGAUACCCUGGUAGUCCACGCCGUAAACGGUGGGCGCUAGGUGUGGGUUUCCUUCCCCGGAACCCGGGCCUUACCCAACGCAUUAAGCGCCCCGCCGGGGGAGUACGGCCGCAAGGUUAAAACCCAAAGGAAUGACGGGGG